RNAcentral lists this small RNA (3041 nucleotides) under Pan troglodytes (chimpanzee). RNAcentral's name for it is "retained intron". The record is from RNAcentral. Lineage: Eukaryota; Metazoa; Chordata; Mammalia; Primates; Hominidae.
GAUGGGAUGGUGCAUCCUUACAAAGGGGACCGGGCCGAGUACUGCAAGGCAGCCAAUAAGAGGGUCAUGGAUGUGAUCAACUCAGCCAGGACCCGCCAGCAGAUGCUGCAUGCCCAGACCUUCCACAGCAACUCUCUUUUGACCCAGGAAGAUGCAGCAGCUGCUGGGGAUCGCAGACCAGCCCCUGACACCUGGAUUUAUCCGCUGAUUCAGAUGAAGCCCUUCGAGAUUCAAAUCGAUGAGAUUGUCACUGAGACCCUGUUGACUGAGGCAGAGCGCGGGGCAAAGGUCUACCUCACCACUGGCUACUUCAACCUGACCCAGGCCUACAUGGACCUGGUCUUGGGCACUCGGGCUGAGUACCAGAUCCUGCUGGCCUCACCAGAGGUGAAUGGCUUCUUUGGGGCCAAGGGGGUGGCCGGCGCCAUCCCAGCGGCCUAUGUGCACAUCGAGCGACAAUUCUACAGUGAGGUGUGCAGCCUGGGACAGCAGGAGCGGGUCCAGCUUCAGGAGUACUGGCGGAGGGGCUGGACGUUCCACGCCAAAGGCCUCUGGCUGUACCUGGCAGGGAGCAGCCUGCCCUGUCUCACGCUGAUUGGCUCUCCUAAUUUUGGGUACAGGUCAGUUCACCGGGACCUGGAGGCCCAGAUUGCGAUCGUGACGGAGAACCAGGCCCUGCAGCAGCAGCUUCACCAGGAGCAAGAGCAGCUCUACCUGAGGUCAGGUGUGGUGUCCUCUGCCACCUUCGAGCAGCCGAGUCGCCAGGUGAAGCUGUGGGUGAAGAUGGUGACUCCACUGAUCAAGAACUUCUUCUGAGGACAGACAGGUGCUGUCUCUAGCAUCACCUCUCAGCACGGUUUUCCCGAGAGUUCACAGGUGGGGCAGGUGGUGGUUCUGACUCAACCAGAGCUUCCAGAGGGCUCUUUGAUCCCUUUCUCAGUUAAACACAGAGCAGCAUCUUCAGGGGUAUGGCAGCUGUCCUCAAAGUUAGAAGCUGGAUGCUAAAUUAGGCAGUCUGUUCACUUUCCAUCUGGUACCCACUCCACUAAGUCCCAAGGCGCCUGUGCUGGGGUCGGCAGUGGCAGCCUGUCGUCCCCUUCUGCUCUCCCUUCCCGGGGGGUCCUGAAGAAGCCCUGGGGCAAGGGCUCAGGGAUGAGGGGGCAGAAAGGCAGAUUGAGCCCCUCCAAGCUGAGCACACUGGUGCAGGAGAUGUAGACGUGGGAGGAGGGGAGCACGUUUGCUCGUGAGAGUGGCUCUGGCUUGCUGCCCCGGCCGGCUGUAGCGCACAGGGUGGGGCGUCGGUGGAGGCAGACCGUGGGCUGCUGCCUGGACGCCUCGCUGACAUCCCUGUGCUGCGGUCACAGAGCUGCGUCCUUCUAGACUCUGGAAGUUGAGUAACAGGACCUGCUCUGCCCACCCAGGAGGGGCCUGCCGCUUCACCAGAGGCACCAGUGGGGUCUCCCAGUCACCUGAGGUACCCCUGGACUGUCUGUCUUGACGCCUAGAGGUCCGGGCAGGGGGUGGCUGCCAUUAAAGGUGGGGUCUUUGCUGAGUGACCUUUUGUGUCCUGGAUCCCUCAGGGCCUGGACUGCACUCCGGGUGGGGUCAGGCUCCCGAGGCCCCUGCUCUCUGGUUCUGGAUGUUGUGGGUAGUUGUGUUGCUUUGGAUGGUGGCUUGUGGGGAAGGGACGGUGAGGAGUCAAAGAUGAGCCAGGACCCAUGUGGCCGGCACAUGCGCUAGUGCCGGCAUCUCGUGUGUGCAGCGUGGGCUCCCUUAGUGCCUGGCACCUUAGUGCUCUGCUAAAUCUCAUUUUUUAAAAAUGUGUAGUUUAUCUUGCAGCUUUUCCUAGUUAUUUUAAUUACUUUUCAUUUUAUUUGAAUAGUAUGUGCAAAUGUAGAGAGUAAAACAAUACUGCGGCCAUUUCCUGCCCCGCCUUCCCCCAGGCAGCCACUCUUGGCUUGUUUCUUCUGAUGUGCACACGUGUCCGUAUUUCUAAAUAACGUGCAUAUCCUGCUGUCUUCCCCCAAAAUGUGUACUUAACCAAAACAGCACCAGUGUCACUCCUGAAACAAAAAUUAACAAGAAUGUCUUAGUAUCAUCAAAUACCUAAAUGGUGUUCACAAUUCCACUUGCCUUAAAAUUAAUUUUUUCGAUUAUUUGACUUGACUUGAAGUCCAAUUAAGGACUACACCUUGUGAUUGUUUUUUCCCUAGCAAUUUAUUUUUUGAAGAAUUAACUUUAUUUUUAUUGGAUCUACUUAAAACAUUUUUGUGUCACCUAGUAGCAGGGGAUUUUGAAUACACAUCAUGUGUGUUUAUAAAGCCAGCUCUCCAUAUCCCCCAAUGUCUCCAGGAGCCGCUUUUGUGGCCUCACUGCCUGAUCUCUUUAUCUUCCGGUGCUUGACCCUUGCACAGAGAGAAGCUUCCUGGGCUACAGGGCAUGGCAGCCUGUCCUUUCGGGGAGUGAGAGUAGAUUUAGUCCCUGCCCUUUGCCUCUCUAGAAGCAGCUUCUCGCCUUUCCCUCCCGAGGGCUGGCAGCAGUCACUAUCACACUUCAUGGGGUCUGAAAGGUUGUAUGGGCUCACCUGGUCUUAGACAAGGACAGCUGCAGCUUCCGCACCAGGCAGACCUGCAGUUUGAGUGGCUGGGGAUAGGUGGAGCGGCCUGGCCACAGUGCCCUGGACAGCAGCACAUCAGUUAAAACACUGUUUGUUUGCCUUCCAACAACUAGUUAUUACGGUGUCCUGUGGGACAAUUAGACUGGAGGAGCCAAAGGAAUGUGCAGGGGCACUGGGUUUCUGUUUGGAGAGAGGCUCUCGGUAAACAGAGUUCGCAUUCCUCCAGAUUCUGUGGGACCAGAGUAAACAUCAUUGUGCCACAGCCAGGCUUAAGCAAUCUAUCUAUGUGCAGUGCCGUUCCCGCAGCGCACACUGCUCCCUCUGUCUCUGCUGAUGGCCUUCGAGGCUGUCCUAGGCAGGUUCUCCCUGGGGAGCUCCCCACACCAAGCCUCCCUAACUCUGCAAAGCAGCCGGAGCAGCGGGC